This 508-nucleotide ribosomal RNA is filed under the name uncultured bacterium. RNAcentral describes it as "partial 16S ribosomal RNA". It matches the Rfam family "Bacterial small subunit ribosomal RNA", at positions 28 to 523 of the family's 1533-position model. The record is from RNAcentral.
GACGAACGCUGGCGGCGCGCUUAAUACAUGCAAGUCGAGCGAGAACCGGAGCUUCGGCUCCGGGGACAGCGGCGAACGGGUGAGUAACACGUGGGUAACCUGCCCUCGGCACCGGGAUAGCCCGGGGAAACCCGGAUUAAUACCGGAUGGCCCUUUCGGUCUUCGGACCGGUCGGCAAAGGUAGCUUCGGCCUCCGGCCGAGGAUGGGCCCGCGGCGGAUUAGCUUGUUGGUGAGGUAACGGCUCACCAAGGCUCCGAUCCGUAGCUGGUCUGAGAGGACGAUCAGCCACACUGGGACUGAGACACGGCCCAGACUCCUACGGGAGGCAGCAGUAGGGAAUCUUGCGCAAUGGGCGAAAGCCUGACGCAGCGACGCCGCGUGCGGGAAGACGGCCUUCGGGUUGUAAACCGCUUUCAGGAGGGACGAAGCCACUCGGGUGAAUAGCCCAGAGGGUGGCGGUACCUCCAGAAGAAACCCCGGCUAACUACGUGCCAGCCGCCGCAGUAA